CAUUGAAUGGCUGAAGUGUAAGCACUGGUCUCUUAAACCACAUUAUAGUAAUCUAACAAAUACUUUCAAUG
Molecule: transfer RNA, 71 nt
Filed under: Microrhagus sp. ZM-2022
Lineage: Eukaryota; Metazoa; Arthropoda; Insecta; Coleoptera; Eucnemidae
Description: tRNA-Lys
Source: RNAcentral